UACGUAGGGAGCAAGCGUUGUCCGGAAUUACUGGGCGUAAAGAGCGUGUAGGCGGCCCUUUAAGUCAGAUGUGAAAACUCAGGGCUCAACCCUGAGACUGCAUCUGAUACUGGAGGGCUUGAGUAUAGGAGAGGGAAGUGGAAUUCCUAGUGUAGCGGUGAAAUGCGUAGAUAUUAGGAGGAACACCAGUGGCGAAGGCGACUUCCUGGCCUGUAACUGACGCUGAGACGCGAAAGCGUGGGGAGCGAACAGG
RNAcentral lists this ribosomal RNA (253 nucleotides) under uncultured prokaryote. Its description in RNAcentral is "partial 16S ribosomal RNA". It matches the Rfam family "Bacterial small subunit ribosomal RNA", at positions 524 to 776 of the family's 1533-position model. The record is from RNAcentral.